AUGACUAUUGCAAGGCUUAAGACUCGUCUUAGAGAUACUGGCACAACACAUGAUCGCCCCCGUAGUGGCAGGCCACGUGAAACUACGUUACGUCAAGACAGACACAUCCGCAUCAUUCCUCUCCGGAAUCGAUUUGUAAACGCGUCCCAAACUGCACGACAAACCCACGGAAGACAUAACAACAGAAUAUCUGCUCAAACAGUUCGUAACCGAUUGCGUCAAGUUGGUCUAAGAGCUCGUCGUCCAUUGAAGGGACCUAUCCUUACGUAG
This 270-nucleotide small RNA is filed under the name Mytilus galloprovincialis (Mediterranean mussel). The record is from RNAcentral. Lineage: Eukaryota; Metazoa; Mollusca; Bivalvia; Mytilida; Mytilidae.